GACGAACGCUGGCGGCGUGCCUAAUACAUGCAAGUAGAACGCUGAAGAGAGGAGCUUGCUCUUCUUGGAUGAGUUGCGAACGGGUGAGUAACGCGUAGGUAACCUGCCUGGUAGCGGGGGAUAACUAUUGGAAACGAUAGCUAAUACCGCAUAAAAUUGAUUAUUGCAUGAUAAUUAAUUGAAAGAUGCAAUUGCAUCACUACCAGAUGGACCUGCGUUGUAUUAGCUAGUUGGUGAGGUAACGGCUCACCAAGGCGACGAUACAUAGCCGACCUGAGAGGGUGAUCGGCCACACUGGGACUGAGACACGGCCCAGACUCCUACGGGAGGCAGCAGUAGGGAAUCUUCGGCAAUGGGGGGAACCCUGACCGAGCAACGCCGCGUGAGUGAAGAAGGUUUUCGGAUCGCAAAGCUCUGUUGUAAGAGAAGAACGGGUGUGAGAGUGGAAAGUUCACACUGUGACGGUAUCUUACCAGAAAGGGACGGCUAACUACGUGCCAGCAGCCGCGGUAAUACGUAGGUCCCGAGCGUUGUCCGGAUUUAUUGGGCGUAAAGCGAGCGCAGGCGGUUAGAUAAGUCUGAAGUUAAAGGCUGUGGCUUAACCAUAGUAUGCUUUGGAAACUGUUUAACUUGAGUGCAGAAGGGGAGAGUGGAAUUCCAUGUGUAGCGGUGAAAUGCGUAGAUAUAUGGAGGAACACCGGUGGCGAAAGCGGCUCUCUGGUCUGUAACUGACGCUGAGGCUCGAAAGCGUGGGGAGCAAGCAGGAUUAGAUACCCUGGUAGUCCACGCCGUAAACGAUGAGUGCUAGGUGUUAGGCCCUUUCCGGGGCUUAGUGCCGCAGCUAACGCAUUAAGCACUCCGCCUGGGGAGUACGACCGCAAGGUUGAAACUCAAAGGAAUUGACGGGGGCCCGCACAAGCGGUGGAGCAUGUGGUUUAAUUCGAAGCAACGCGAAGAACCUUACCAGGUCUUGACAUCCCUCUGAUCGCUCUAGAGAUAGAGUUUUCCUUCGGGACAGAGGUGACAGGUGGUGCAUGGUUGUCGUCAGCUCGUGUCGUGAGAUGUUGGGUUAAGUCCCGCAACGAGCGCAACCCCUAUUGUUAGUUGCCAUCAUUCAGUUGGGCACUCUAGCGAGACUGCCGGUAAUAAACCGGAGGAAGGUGGGGAUGACGUCAAAUCAUCAUGCCCCUUAUGACCUGGGCUACACACGCGCUACAAUGGCUGGUACAACGAGUCGCAAGCCGGUGACGGCAAGCUAAUCUCUGAAAGCCAGUCUCAGUUCGGAUUGUAGGCUGCAACUCGCCUACAUGAAGUCGGAAUCGCUAGUAAUCGCGGAUCAGCACGCCGCGGUGAAUACGUUCCCGGGCCU
Molecule: ribosomal RNA, 1369 nt
Filed under: uncultured bacterium
Lineage: Bacteria
Description: bacterial SSU rRNA
Rfam family: Bacterial small subunit ribosomal RNA
Source: RNAcentral